GACGAACGCUGGCGGCGUGCUUAACACAUGCAAGUCGAACGGAAAGACCCUGCUUUUGUGGGGUGCUCGAGUGGCGAACGGGUGAGUAACACGUGAGUAACCUGCCCUUGACUUUGGGAUAACUUCAGGAAACUCGGGCUAUUACCGGAUAGGAGCUCCUGCUGCAUGGUGGGGGUUGGAAAGUUUCGGCGGUUGGGGAUGGACUCGCGGCUUAUCAGCUUGUUGGUGGGGUAGUGGCUUACCAAGCCUUUGACGGGUAGCCGGCCUGAGAGGGUGACCGGCCACAUUGGGACUGCGAGACGGCCCAGAAUCGUACGGGAGGCAGUGGUGGGGAAUAUUGCACAAUGGGCGGAAGCCAGAUGCAGCAACGCCGCGUGCGGGAUACCGGCCUUCGGGUUGUAAACCGCUGUCGCCUGUGACGAAGCGAGAGUGACGGUAAUGGGUAAAGAAGCACCGGCUAACUACGUG
This 468-nucleotide ribosomal RNA is filed under the name uncultured bacterium. RNAcentral describes it as "partial 16S ribosomal RNA". It matches the Rfam family "Bacterial small subunit ribosomal RNA", at positions 28 to 507 of the family's 1533-position model. The record is from RNAcentral.